Molecule: ribosomal RNA, 479 nt
Filed under: uncultured bacterium
Lineage: Bacteria
Description: partial 16S ribosomal RNA
Rfam family: Bacterial small subunit ribosomal RNA
Source: RNAcentral
GAUGAACGCUCGCGGGAGGCCUAACACAUGCAAGCCGAGCGGUAUUGUUUCUUCGGAACUGAGAGAGCGGCGUACGGGUGCGUAACACGUGUGCAACCUGCCUUUAUCUGGGGGAUAGCCUUUCGAAAGGAAGAUUAAUACUCCAUAAUAUAUUGAACGGCAUCGUUUAAUAUUGAAAGCUCCGGCGGAUAGAGAUGGGCACGCGCAAGAUUAGCUAGUUGGUGAGGUAACGGCUCACCAAGGCGAUGAUCUUUAGGGGGCCUGAGAGGGUGAUCCCCCACACUGGUGCUGAGACACGGACCAGACUCCUACGGGAGGCAGCAGUGAGGAAUAUUGGUCAAUGGGUGCAAGCCUGAACCAGCCAUCCCGCGUGAAGGACGACUGCCCUAUGGGUUGUAAACUUCUUUUGUAUAGGGAUAAACCUACCCUCGAGAGGGUAGCUGAAGGUACUAUACGAAUAAGCACCGGCUAACUCCGUG